AGUGAAGCGUGCAUGUCACGCAGUUACGUUUAAAUUUUGGGUGUUUUGCACCCGGGGUGUGUUAUCCAGGUGCCCGGGAGUAGCGUCUGUGUAAGGGAGUGGCCGUCUCCUUGUGGCACUGAGCAGUUGCGGUCAGUUUUGUGGGACGCAGGAUGUACCGGAGCGGCUCUGGAGGAUGGAGGCUCGUAGCCGCCCUCGUGCUGCGCAUUUUAGCGGUGGGCACGUGAAAUGGCUGCAGAUGACAAACGGUCUCCAACACUGGACUCUACGAGUGAUCUACCUCAUUCUCCCAGCAGUCCAUCUCAUCUCACCCACUUCAAACCCCUGACUCCUGACCAGGAUGAGCCUCCUUUUAAAUCAGCCUACAGUUCUUUUGUAAAUCUCUUCCGUUUCAGCAAAGAUGAUAGCAGGCUUUCAUCACCGGCAGAGAGAACAGAGGCAGGACAGAGUGAUCCACAGGCAUUGAGUGGUGGCUGGUCCAGUCCUCAGCAUCCCACCAGGGCUCAGUCUCUGAGAUCACMGAUUCAUUACAAAAAACAACUGACUGGUGAGCUGCAAAGAAGAUCAUCUGCAACUCUGGGUAAUUUCACCUCUUUGUUCUAAAAGGCAGUGCUGUACUAGUCAGGAUGCUUCAGAGUGAGAUGGAAGGAAGUGAGCGAAAGUUCAUGUCUAGAUUCAUGGCAGAAUUUAGUAUCAGGCUGUACAGCUUCUGUUAGUGAGGUUGCACUUUAACCUCAGAAGCAUGUUCCCUCCACCCUUGGUGUUCCAGCAAGACAGCUUCUUGUUGGGACUCUGCUCUUUGAGUUGGAAAAAAAUCUGGAAUGGGAGAGGCUGCCAAAACACAUCCAGUGUUUUAAAGUAAUUUGAACCUUAGUCCUGGACAUUUCUGCUUUUUCUUGAGAGACUAGAGUUUCUUAGCAUCUACAUGCUAACUCUAGUGCUUAGUGUGAAUGGAGUUGAUGUUUGUGUCUUCAAGGGAAUUGUAAAUGCAGUUUUUUGCUUGUAGCUGUUUUGAGGAGAAUUGAAUAAAAGUUGUGC
Molecule: long non-coding RNA, 1038 nt
Organism: Malurus melanocephalus (red-backed fairy wren)
Lineage: Eukaryota; Metazoa; Chordata; Aves; Passeriformes; Maluridae
Exons: 3
Source: RefSeq, a predicted model, not a curated record